Oryza sativa Indica Group (long-grained rice) is the source of this 188-nucleotide microRNA precursor. It matches the Rfam family "MIR812 microRNA precursor family". The record is from Rfam. NCBI's taxonomy places the organism in Eukaryota, Viridiplantae, Streptophyta, Magnoliopsida, Poales, Poaceae.
AAUAAGUACAGUCUUACAUUAUUCACGUUCAACGUUUGACUGUUUGUCUCAUUUGAAAAUUUUUUAUUGUUAGUAUUUUUAUUGCUAUUAGAUGAUAAAACAUGAAUAGUACUUUAUAUGUAACUAAAUAUUUUUAAAUAAGACGGACGGUCAAACGUUGAGCAUGAAUAUUCACGGCUGCACUUAUU